Molecule: ribosomal RNA, 153 nt
Filed under: Triticum aestivum (bread wheat)
Lineage: Eukaryota; Viridiplantae; Streptophyta; Magnoliopsida; Poales; Poaceae
Description: partial small subunit ribosomal RNA
Source: RNAcentral
AUGUGUUUUGAAGUAUGCCAUGCCAUCUUUCCAGUGAUUCAUGCCAUGCCUUGUUUUGCCAUGUUAAGUUCCUGUAGCAUGUUGAUUUCGUGCUCUGGACAUUGCUACCUGAUGUUAUUUCUGCCAUGUCCAGUAAUUCUGCUAAGUCUGUGA